This 484-nucleotide ribosomal RNA is filed under the name uncultured bacterium. RNAcentral's name for it is "bacterial SSU rRNA". It matches the Rfam family "Bacterial small subunit ribosomal RNA", at positions 998 to 1501 of the family's 1533-position model. The record is from RNAcentral.
UUCCAGAGAUGGAUUCCUUCAGUUUGGCUGGACAAUGUCCAGGUGCUGCAAGGCUGUCGUCAGUUCGUGUCGUGAGAUGUUCGGUUAAGUCCGGCAACGAGCGCAACCCACGUCCUUAGUUACCAGCAUUUAGUUGGGUACCCUAAGGAGACUGCCGGUGAUAAGCCGGAGGAAGGUGUGGACGACGUCAGGUCAUCAUGGCCCUUACGGGUUGGGCUACACACGUGCUACAAUGGCAUCUACAGUGAGUUAAUCUCCAAAAGAUGUCUCAGUUCGGAUUGGGGUCUGCAACUCGACCCCAUGAAGUUGGAAUCGCUAGUAAUCGCGGAACAGCAUGCCGCGGUGAAUACGUUCCCGGGCCUUGUACACACCGCCCGUCACACCAUGGGAAUUGGGUCUACCCGAAGGUGGUGCGCCAACUAUUUAUAGGGGCAGCCAACCACGGUAGGUUCAGUGACUGGGGUGAAGUCGUAACAAGGUAACC